GCCGAUGCAGCGCCGGGUCGCGUGGGUCUCCGGAGAGCGCGGGAAGGCGAAGGCGUCCCAGGAUGGUAGCGGAGCUUGGCCUUCCUCUCACCCCGCCCUCUCCAGGCCGCUGUUUGUCAGCGCACGUGUCUCCCUGCACGGUCUGAGGAAGGCCUGGACACCUGCGUUAAGCCGACCGAGACAAGGCUCCUGAACGCUGACUAUCUGCCCCAGAGCUGUGCUUGUGCUAUGCGGGAAACAGUAACCUGUAACUUGGGCCCCCAGACCCGGAGCCCCAUCUGACAAAGAUAAUUGCACACUCUUCUGGAGAAGCAGACACCCAUAUGCUUGACAGGACGCUUCCCUCUGCUCAAGCACUUCUUUAUUAACCUUAUGCUUAAAUCUGUGUUAACAUCUCUUAAGUGCCAGCUCUACCUCUUUUAAUUAAACGUUUUUAAGAAUUUC
This 444-nucleotide long non-coding RNA is filed under the name Rattus norvegicus (Norway rat). RNAcentral describes it as "long non-coding RNA NONRATT010959". The record is from RNAcentral. Lineage: Eukaryota; Metazoa; Chordata; Mammalia; Rodentia; Muridae.